RNAcentral lists this ribosomal RNA (440 nucleotides) under uncultured bacterium. RNAcentral describes it as "partial 16S ribosomal RNA". It matches the Rfam family "Bacterial small subunit ribosomal RNA", at positions 338 to 795 of the family's 1533-position model. The record is from RNAcentral.
CCUACGGGUGGCAGCAGUAGGGAAUAUUGCUCAAUGGGGGAAACCCUGAUGCAGCAACGCCGCGUGGAGGAUGAAGGUUUUCGGAUUGUAAACUCCUUUUGUUAGAGAAGAUAAUGACGGUAUCUAACGAAUAAGCACCGGCUAACUACGUGCCAGCAGCCGCGGUAAUACGGAGGGUGCAAGCGUUACUCGGAAUCACUGGGUGUAAAGAGCGCGUAGGCGGGAUAGCAAGUCAGAUGUGAAAUCCUAUGGCUUAACCAUAGAACUGCAUUUGAAACUGUUAUUCUAGAGUAUGGGAGAGGUAGGUGGAAUUCGUGGUGUAGGGGUAAAAUGCGUAGAGAUCAAGAGGAAUACUCAUGGCGAAGGCGACCUGCUAGAACGUAACUGACGCUGAGGCGCGAAGGCGUGGGGAGCAAACAGGAUUAGAUACCCGGGUAGUC